ACUUAUAUUCUGUAGCAAGGUUAACCGAAUAGGGGAGCCGGAGGGAAACCGAGUCUUAAUUGGGCGUUAAGUUGCAGGGUAUAGACCCGAAACCCGGUGAUCUAGCCAUGGGCAGGUUGAAGGUUGGGUAACACUAACUGGAGGACCGAACCGACUAAUGUUGAAAAAUUAGCGGAUGACCUGUGGCUGGGGGUGAAAGGCCAAUCAAACCGGGAGAUAGCUGGUUCUCCCCGAAAGCUAUUUAGGUAGCGCCUCGUGAAUUCAUCUCCGGGGGUAGAGCACUGUUUCGGCUAGGGGGCCAUCCCGGCUUACCAACCCGAUGCAAACUGCGAAUACCGGAGAAUGUUAUCACGGGAGACACACGGCGGGUGCUAACGUCCGUCGUGAAGAGGGAAACAACCCAGACCGCCAGCUAAGGUCCCAAAGUCAUGGUUAAGUGGGAAACGAUGUGGGAAGGCCCAGACAGCCAGGAUGUUGGCUUAGAAGCAGCCAUCAUUUAAAGAAAGCGUAAUAGCUCACUGGUCGAGUCGGCCUGCGCGGAAGAUGUAACGGGGCUAAACCAUGCACCGAAGCUGCGGCAGCGACACUGUGUGUUGUUGGGUAGGGGAGCGUUCUGUAAGCCUGUGAAGGUGUGUCGUGAGGCAUGCUGGAGGUAUCAGAAGUGCGAAUGCUGACAUAAGUAACGAUAAAGCGGGUGAAAAGCCCGCUCGCCGGAAGACCAAGGGUUCCUGUCCAACGUUAAUCGGGGCAGGGUGAGUCGACCCCUAAGGCGAGGCCGAAAGGCGUAGUCGAUGGGAAACGGGUUAAUAUUCCCGUACUUGGUGUUACUGCGAAGGGGGGACGGAGAAGGCUAUGUUGGCCGGGCGACGGUUGUCCCGGUUUAAGCGUGUAGGUGUGUGUUCCAGGUAAAUCCGGUUCACUUUAACACUGAGGCGUGACGACGAGGCACUACGGUGCUGAAGCAACAAAUGCCCUGCUUCCAGGAAAAGCCUCUAAGCAUCAGGUAACAUCAAAUCGUACCCCAAACCGACACAGGUGGUCAGGUAGAGAAUACCAAGGCGCUUGAGAGAACUCGGGUGAAGGAACUAGGCAAAAUGGUGCCGUAA
Molecule: ribosomal RNA, 1106 nt
Filed under: Salmonella enterica subsp. enterica serovar Stanley
Lineage: Bacteria; Pseudomonadati; Pseudomonadota; Gammaproteobacteria; Enterobacterales; Enterobacteriaceae
Description: partial 23S ribosomal RNA
Rfam family: Bacterial large subunit ribosomal RNA
Source: RNAcentral